Molecule: ribosomal RNA, 253 nt
Filed under: uncultured bacterium
Lineage: Bacteria
Description: partial 16S ribosomal RNA
Rfam family: Bacterial small subunit ribosomal RNA
Source: RNAcentral
UACGAAGGGGGCAAGCGUUACUCGGAAUUACUGGGCGUAAAGGGUGCGUAGGUGGUUUUUUAAGUCCGUUGUGAAAUCCCUGGGCUCAACCUGGGAAUGGCAGUGGAUACUGGAAAGCUAGAGUGCGGUAGAGGGUAGUGGAAUUCCCGGUGUAGCAGUGAAAUGCGUAGAGAUCGGGAGGAACACCAGUGGCGAAGGCGGCUACCUGGACCAGCACUGACACUGAGGCACGAAAGCGUGGGGAGCAAACAGG